GUGAUAGGGUACUUUUUGUAGAACGGUCCGGCGAGCGAUUGUAUGCAGCAAGGUUAAGGACUUAAGGUCUGGAGCCGAAGCGAAAGCGAGUUUGAAAAGGGCGUUAAGUUGCAUAUAAUGGGCCCGAAACCGGGUGACCUACCCAUGGUCAGGUUGAAGUGGAAGUAAAAUUCCAUGGAGGACCGAACCGACCUCCGUUGAAAAGGCGGCGGAUGAACUGUGGGUAGCGGAGAAAUUCCAAUCGAACCCGGAGAUAGCUGGUUCUCCCCGAAAUAGUUUUAGGACUAGCCUCAAGUUAGAUACCUGGAGGUAAAGCACUGAAUAGCCUAGCGGCCGAGAGGUUAGCGAAGCUUAUCAAACUCAGAAUGCCAGAGUAUUGAUGCUUGGGAGUCAGACAGUGUCAGAUAAAUGUCAUUGUCAAAAGGGAAACAGCCCAGAUCUACAGCUAAGGUCCCAAAGUCAGGUUAAGUGGAAAACGAUGUGAAGAUACGCAGACAACCAGGAUGUUGGCUCAGAAGCAGCCACUCAUUCAAAGAGUGCGUAAUAGCUCACUGGUCGAGCGUCUUUGCGCGGAGAAUUUAACGGGGCUAAACCUGACACCGAAGCUUAGGCAAUCCAGCAAUGGAUUGGGUAGGGGAGCGUUGUAUACGCGGAGAAACAGUAGCGUAAGCGGCUGUGGAGUGUAUAGAAGUGAGAAUGCCGGAAUGAGUAGCGCGAAUGCAGUGAGAAUCUGCAUGGCCGAAAGCCUCAGGUUUUUGGAGGAAGGUUCGUCCGCUCCAAGUUAGUCGGGAGCUAAGGUGAGGCCGGAAGGCGUAGCCGAUGCACAGACGGUAGAGAUUCCGUCACCACCAAAAGAGUUAAGCACAGGGACACAUUUGAAGUCUCAGAGCCGGGUGUUGGUUCCGGUAGAGAUCGAGGGAAGUUAGUACCGAAGUCUGGGAUGGAAGAUGGCGAGAAAAGCUGUGUGUAUUUCUGAGGUGCCCGUACCGCAAACCGACACAGGUAGGUAGGAAGAAGAUUCUAAGGCCAACGGGAGAAGGGUUGUUAAGGAACUCGGCAAAUUGACCCCGUAACUUCGGGAGAAGGGGUGCUCCAGAGAUGGAGCCGCAGAGAAUCGGCCCAAGCAACUGUUUACCAAAAACACAGGUUUGUGCUAAAUCGAAAGAUGACGUAUACGAGCUGACGCCUGCCCGGUGCUGGAAGGUUAAGAGGAGAUGUGCAAGCAUUGAAUCGAAGCCCCAGUGAACGGCGGCCGUAACUAUAACGGUCCUAAGGUAGCGAAAUUCCUUGUCAGGUAAG
RNAcentral lists this ribosomal RNA (1299 nucleotides) under human gut metagenome. Its description in RNAcentral is "bacterial LSU rRNA". It matches the Rfam family "Bacterial large subunit ribosomal RNA", at positions 593 to 1980 of the family's 2925-position model. The record is from RNAcentral.